UCCUGGUUAACCCAGGCAGUCUCAUUAGAGUUCCCAUCUUUACAUGUUGGCAACUAAUGAUAAGGGUUGCGCUCGUUGCGGGACUUAACCCAACACCUCACGGCACGAGCUGACGACAGCCAUGCAGCACCUGUGCACAGGCUCCGAAGAGAGAUCACAUUUCUGUGACUGUCCUGUGCAUGUCAAGUCUGGGUAAGGUUUUUCGCGUUGCAUCGAAUUAAACCACAUGCUCCACUGCUUGUGCGGGUCCCCGUCAAUUCUUUUGAGUUUCAGCCUUGCGACUGUACUCCCCAGGCGGUAUACUUAACGCGUUAGCUACGGCACAAAUGGGGUUGAUUCCAUUUACACCAAGUAUACAUCGUUUACGGCAAGGACUAC
RNAcentral lists this unclassified non-coding RNA (378 nucleotides) under uncultured Parachlamydiaceae bacterium. Its description in RNAcentral is "contains 16S-23S intergenic spacer region". Lineage: Bacteria; Pseudomonadati; Chlamydiota; Chlamydiia; Parachlamydiales; Parachlamydiaceae. The record is from RNAcentral.